CCUAGAGGGCUUAUCAAUUAACACCGACUACGGAGUACCAAGAUAAGCAAACAAAAGGCUACACGUCCACUCAUAGCGUCUGAAAAGACCAUGUGAAAGUUCAAUGAACUUUUAUAUGUCCAAGGAUUUAAUGACUCUUGGCAUGAAAUACAGUGAUAAUAGUUAGUAGUAAUGAAACAACCUUGGGGAAGUUUGGAGCGAAAUCUAAAGUUGCAGUGAUACUUAAUGAGGGGGCUACUACUA
Molecule: non-coding RNA, 243 nt
Filed under: unclassified sequences
Description: RT-16 RNA
Rfam family: RT-16 RNA
About the family: candidate division DUSEL4 (Archaea). Nearby to self-splicing intron genes
Source: Rfam by way of RNAcentral